Bactrocera oleae (olive fruit fly) is the source of this 736-nucleotide non-coding RNA. NCBI's taxonomy places the organism in Eukaryota, Metazoa, Arthropoda, Insecta, Diptera, Tephritidae. The record is from RefSeq and is a predicted model, not a curated record.
UUUGCAAAAAAUUAAAAGUAGAAGAUUUCUUCAUCUUAACUUAAAAUCGUUUUCUGGUUAGAAAAUGCCAUCAGCUGAUACUUUAACAUUUUGUUUGGUUACCUUAUCAUAGGUUAAAUAAAAUAUCUGCAUAGAUAAAACACGAAGGCGAAAUCAAACUCAAACAAAUCCACAAAUGAUCAAACUGCUGAUGAAUAUGAUGACUGGAAAGUCAAUUGGGAUGAUGACAAUGAAACUUAUUCGUAAGUAGGGCCUAGUGGUAGGACAAAUACUAGUAAUCACGCAGGACACGCUAACGCACUCACAUUCCGCUAGCAAUUACACAGAAACAUUAAAAAAGUCUGACAUCAAGACGAUACAAGCAUUUUGAUUGGUUACACGAAUAUUGGCUCAUUUCCAUGCCACCGUUGCCAGAUAAGAAAUUUUCUGAACGUUAAGAAGAACAAUUUGUGGAGCAUCGACUGGUUCAAUUGCAAGAAUUUAUAGAUUAUGACAUGUGAUUGUGUGUUCCGUCAUCCGGUACUGUCACAAUGGGAGGGUGGCACCAUUUCUUGACCUGCAAUGCAGUGAUGACAAGAUGUGGAAAUCAAGCCAAUGCAAAGCCGGAAGGGACAAAUAUGUGGGACUGUCUUACUGUUGGGACAUAUCACCGCCUGAAAAGACAUUGUUGCCAUCGCUUGUAAAGGAUGUUUUUUAGAGGCACGGGUGGCUCGGAUGUAGUCCAAUCUAGACGUCC